AUGCAGCCGCGCCGCCGCGGGGGCGCUGAGGAAAUGGCGUCUGCGGCGACUCCCAGCCCCAGCGGCCGCGGAGGGGGGAGGAGCCGGGGGGUUAGGCGGCGUCGCCGAUUGGCUACAGGGCGCCCAACGGCCGGCUGGCUAGCCAACCGCCGCCGCGGGGCUGCCGGCAGCGCCUCUCAUUGGCUGGGGGGCGGGACGAGCCGCCUGGUGUCGGGGAGGGGGCCUCCCCUCAGGCCGGGGGGGCGUGUUCAGCGGGCAGAGGCAGUGCGGAGCCGGCUGCGGCGCCGGGCAAUGGCGGCUCGGCCCAGGGCGCCCUCAGCGGCGGGCGGGGGGGACGGCCCCGCUCCCCGGACGCGGUUUGCACUCGAGGGGUGCGAUAGCAGGGGUGCGGUCCCCGCGCCGGCGAUAAGGGAGGUGGGCUGGGCCGCGCUGGCCCACGGCGGAGCGGCCUCCGCGCAUAGCCCGGUCCAGGCGAGGCGGACGCUGUCCCCCGGUCGCCCUCAGGAAGGGCGAGCCGGCUGUCGUCCCCUCGGCGGUACCGGAGUAGUGAGAGGAAUGGGAGGACAAGUGCAGAACUUGUAGAGUGGUCACAGGAAAGUGCAGUCUAUGCACAGCCACUGUUUUCACAACUUACUUAUUUUGUAAGUGUGAUGAAAGUCAGGAGUAACCGAUGCCCUCAUGCUGUAACAGAAUCCUGAUCCAUCUGAAACAGAGAACAGAUUACACAAGUACACUGAAAUGAGUAUAAAAUAUAAAAUAUUGUAAUGAAUAUAAAAUAUAAGACUAAUAAUUUUUUUACCUAUUAUUUUUUGGUAAACUGCUAGCAAUGCAAGAAAAAUGUGCAUUUCGAUUGGCCUACAAAUAGAAACAAAAAAUGGUACACCCUUAAAAAAGGCAAAUGUUACCAAUAUUGUAAAUAGUAAAAGCUUUGUAAAUUGUUGGGUUUUUUUCCCCAAUGUAUAUAGGUUUUAAAAAAUGUUACACAACUGUGGGAUUAUAAGUAUUUAGUUAUAUUUCCUUUCCCAAACUACAUUAAGGUGGAAGUAAGACUGAGUGACUGUAUGAGUAGUAUAAGAGCAAAUUACUGCUCCUUUUAUUCUUAUUUUUCGCUACUGCCCAUCACUGGAACCUCUAAAAAAUUGCUGCUGCCUAAAUUGGUGCUGUGCUAAGGUACCACCUUGACUUCUGUGGGUCGCAGAAGCCAGAAGCCCAGGAAGGAGUAGCCUUGAGGAGUCCCAGGUACGGAUUAGUGAGAAGUCUGGCCUAACAGCUGUGAGGCUUUGCAGUACCUUAGCUAGCUCAACGCUGCCUUGUGUCAUGAAAAUAACAGGAUUUCUUUAUGUGGAAGGCUUGGAGGUUAUUACUCUUGAAGGGAGUAUUAAGUAUUAAUCAGUUCAGUUCUUUAAAAUACCAUUACUUUGAUUUUCUUGGUUUUGUAAUGAUUUGAUUUUGGAAAAUAACUUGCAGUAACACUACAAUAUUUUACAUCCAGUCUGAAAUACAAAGUUUCAAUGUGGUUUGUGUCUUUUUUUUUUAACUUUUCCAUGAUUUGUAAUCAGAAAUCUGAUUUUAUAAAUGCUAAACAAGAAUCAUAAGUGAUACACUACUCUGUAGUUUGAAAGGAGGGGUACUUGCUGAUGCACACAUGCCAAUGUAAACCAGAGUACACUAGCAGCUAAGCUGCAGUCGCAUAAUUAAUCAUUGCUUGAACCACACCACAAACAACUAAAAUGAUUUGUGAAUGUAUAGUUAGAUAUUUGGUGUGGAGUUUGUAAGAAAAGCUUUAUGAGAAGGAGAAUUGACGCAAUUCACAGUGUUUGUUUUCCCAUCUACCAUUCAUAGGGCAUGUCUCCAGCACUGUUGUCUCACCACACACUGGAGCCAGAAUAAAUUAAAAAAUGGGGGAAAAAAUGGGGUUUGA
This is a long non-coding RNA of Calidris pygmaea (Spoon-billed sandpiper), 1921 nucleotides long. Lineage: Eukaryota; Metazoa; Chordata; Aves; Charadriiformes; Scolopacidae. The record is from Ensembl.